Molecule: ribosomal RNA, 524 nt
Filed under: uncultured bacterium
Lineage: Bacteria
Description: bacterial SSU rRNA
Rfam family: Bacterial small subunit ribosomal RNA
Source: RNAcentral
UCCUUGGAAUUCUGCAGAGAUGCGGAAGUGCCUUCGGGAAUCAAGUGACAGGUGCUGCAUGGCUGUCGUCAGCUCGUGUCGUGAGAUGGUUGGUUAACGUCCCGUAACGAGCGCAACCCUUGUCCUUUGUUGCCAGCACGUAAAGGUGGGAACUCAAAGGAGACUGCCGGUGACAAACCGGAGGAAGGUGGGGACGACGUCAAGUCAUCAUGGCCCUUACGGCCUGGGCUACACACGUGCUACAAUGGUCGGUACAGAGGGUUGCCAAGCCGCGAGGUGGAGCUAAUCCCAGAAAACCGGUCGUAGUCCGGAUCGCAGUCUGCAACUCGACUGCGUGAAGUCGGAAUCGCUAGUAAUCGCGAAUCAGAAUGUCGCGGUGAAUACGUUCCCGGGCCUUGUACACACCGCCCGUCACACCAUGGGAGUGGGUUGCAAAAGAAGUGGCUAGUCUAACCUUCGGGAGGGCGGUCACCACUUUGUGAUUCAUGACUGGGGUGAAGUCGUAACAAGGUAAGCGUAGUGCU